GUUUGAUCCUGGCUCAGGAUGAACGCUGGCGGCGUGCCUAACACAUGCAAGUCGAGCGAGCUGAAUUGUUUGAAGCCUUCGGGUGGAAAAUAAGGAUGCUAGCGGCGGACGGGUGAGUAACGCGUGGGCAACCUACCCUGUACAGGGGGAUAACAAUGGGAAACCAUUGCUAAUACCCCAUAAUACCUUUAAGGGGCAUCCCUUAAAGGUCAAAGAAUUUCGGUAUAGGAUGGGCCCGCGUCUGAUUAGCUAGUUGGUGAGGUAAUGGCUCACCAAGGCGACGAUCAGUAGCCGGCCUGAGAGGGUGAACGGCCACACUGGAACUGAGACACGGUCCAGACUCCUACGGGAGGCAGCAGUAGGGAAUCUUCCGCAAUGGACGCAAGUCUGACGGAGCAACGCCGCGUGAGCGAUGAAGGUCUUCGGAUCGUAAAGCUCUGUUGUCAGGGAAGAACAAGUAUCGGAGUAACUGCCGGUACCUUGACGGUACCUGACCAGAAAGCCACGGCUAACUACGUGCCAGCAGCCGCGGUAAUACGUAGGUGGCAAGCGUUGUCCGGAAUUAUUGGGCGUAAAGCGCGCGCAGGCGGUCCUUUAAGUCUGAUGUGAAAGCCCCCGGCUCAACCGGGGAGGGUCAUUGGAAACUGGGGGACUUGAGUGCAGAAGAGAAGAGCGGAAUUCCACGUGUAGCGGUGAAAUGCGUAGAGAUGUGGAGGAACACCAGUGGCGAAGGCGGCUCUUUGGUCUGUAACUGACGCUGAGGCGCGAAAGCGUGGGGAGCAAACAGGAUUAGAUACCCUGGUAGUCCACGCCGUAAACGAUGAGUGCUAGGUGUUAGGGGGUUUCCGCCCCUUAGUGCUGAAGUUAACGCAUUAAGCACUCCGCCUGGGGAGUACGGCCGCAAGGCUGAAACUC
RNAcentral lists this ribosomal RNA (915 nucleotides) under uncultured Bacillaceae bacterium. RNAcentral describes it as "bacterial SSU rRNA". It matches the Rfam family "Bacterial small subunit ribosomal RNA", at positions 11 to 902 of the family's 1533-position model. Lineage: Bacteria; Bacillati; Bacillota; Bacilli; Caryophanales; Bacillaceae. The record is from RNAcentral.